UUAUGUGAGGGAGAUCUGGCCGCGACAUCUGUCACCCCAUUGAUCACCAGAGUUGAUUCAGCUGAUCUGACUGGCUAGGUGGGUGUCCCCUUCCUCCCUCACAGCUUCAUGUGCUUCCCUCCCGAAGCUGUGCACUUGGUGGAAGAGGACGACGUCCCAGGUAUAGAAAGGGGUGUACCGAGGUCUCCAGUCUUUGGUCCUGGGUAUUCAAUAACUGCGCUCCCCUGCUAGAACCUCCAAACAAGUUCAAGGUCUUACAUCUUUUUAUUAUGCAAUCAAAUAUAUAUCCACAAAAACGUUUAACUUUUGAUCAUUGUUUCAUGG
Molecule: non-coding RNA, 324 nt
Organism: Anolis carolinensis (green anole)
Lineage: Eukaryota; Metazoa; Chordata; Lepidosauria; Squamata; Anolidae
Rfam family: 7SK RNA
About the family: 7SK was discovered as an abundant small nuclear RNA in the mid-70s but a possible function has only recently been suggested. Two independent studies have found that 7SK RNA binds the CDK9/cyclin T complex (known as elongation factor P-TEFb). P-TEFb activates transcription by phosphorylating the C-terminal domain of RNA polymerase II.
Source: Rfam